GUGAAGAACGCAGCGAAAUGCGAUAAGUAAUGUGAAUUGCAGAAUUCAGUGAAUCAUCGAGUCUUUGAACGCACAUUGCGCCCCCUGGUAUUCCGGGGGGCAUGCCUGUCCGAGCGUCAUUGCUGCCCUCAAGCACGGCUUGUGUGUUGGGCCCCCGUCCCCGGUUUCCCCCGGGGACGGGCCCGAAAGGCAGCGGCGGCACCGCGUCCGGUCCUCGAGCGUAUGGGGCUUUGUCACCCGCUCUGUAGGCCCGGCCGGCGCCAGCCGACACCCAACUUUAUUUCUAAGGUUGACCUCGGAUCAGGUAGGGAUACCCGCUGAACUUAAGCAUAUCAAUAAGCGGAGGA
RNAcentral lists this unclassified non-coding RNA (347 nucleotides) under soil metagenome. RNAcentral's name for it is "partial contains 5.8S ribosomal RNA, internal transcribed spacer 2, and large subunit ribosomal RNA". The stretch from base 2 to 119 matches the Rfam family "5.8S ribosomal RNA", at positions 37 to 154 of the family's 154-position model. The record is from RNAcentral.